AGAUUGAACGCUGGCGGCAGGCCUAACACAUGCAAGUCGAGCGCGAAAGUUUCUUCGGGAAUGAGUAGAGCGGCGGACGGGUGAGUAACGCGUGGGAAUUUGCCCAGUAGUGGGGGACAACUCGGGGAAACUCGAGCUAAUACCGCAUACGCCCUAUGGGGGAAAGCAGGGGAUCUUCGGACCUUGCGCUAUUGGAUAAGCCCGCGUCGGAUUAGCUAGGUUGGAGGUAAAGGCUACCAAGGCGACGAUCCGUAGCUGGUCUGAGAGGAUGAUCAGCCACGACUGGGACUGAGACCGACGGCCCAGACCUCCUACGGGAGGCAGCGAGUGGGAAUAGUGGACAAGUGGGGACAACCGUGAUCAGCCAUCGCCGCGUGUGUAGAAGUAGGCCGUAGGGUUAGUAA
RNAcentral lists this ribosomal RNA (404 nucleotides) under uncultured soil bacterium. RNAcentral's name for it is "bacterial SSU rRNA". It matches the Rfam family "Bacterial small subunit ribosomal RNA", at positions 26 to 429 of the family's 1533-position model. The record is from RNAcentral.